GACGAAGGUGGCGAGCGUUGUUCGGAAUCACUGGGCAUAAAGCGCACGUAGGCGGCUAGGUAAGUCGGAUGUGAAAUACCUCGGCUCAACCGAGGAACUGCGUCCGAUACUGCCUGGCUUGAGGUCCGGAGGGGAGAGUGGAAUUCCCGGUGGAGCGGUGAAAUGCGUAGAGAUCGGGAAGGACGCCGGCGGCGAAAGCGACUCUCUGGUCGGAAUCUGACGCUGAGGUGCGAAAGCUAGGGGAGCAAACGGG
This 253-nucleotide ribosomal RNA is filed under the name uncultured bacterium. RNAcentral describes it as "partial 16S ribosomal RNA". It matches the Rfam family "Bacterial small subunit ribosomal RNA", at positions 524 to 776 of the family's 1533-position model. The record is from RNAcentral.